CGCGUAGGCGGCCUUGUAAGUUGGGGGUGAAAGCCCGUGGCUCAACCACGGAAUUGCCUUCGAUACUGCUUGGCUUGAGUGUGGUAGAGGUUGGUGGAACUGCGAGUGUAGAGGUGAAAUUCGUAGAUAUUCGCAAGAACACCGGUGGCGAAGGCGGCCAACUGGACCAUCACUGACGCUCAAAUGCGAAAGCGUGGGGAUCAAACAGGAUUAGAUACCCUGGUA
This 225-nucleotide ribosomal RNA is filed under the name uncultured Methylobacterium sp. RNAcentral's name for it is "partial 16S ribosomal RNA". It matches the Rfam family "Bacterial small subunit ribosomal RNA", at positions 568 to 792 of the family's 1533-position model. Lineage: Bacteria; Pseudomonadati; Pseudomonadota; Alphaproteobacteria; Hyphomicrobiales; Methylobacteriaceae. The record is from RNAcentral.